Molecule: ribosomal RNA, 253 nt
Filed under: uncultured bacterium
Lineage: Bacteria
Description: partial 16S ribosomal RNA
Rfam family: Bacterial small subunit ribosomal RNA
Source: RNAcentral
GACGUAGGGCGCGAGCGUUGUCCGGAUUUAUUGGACGUAAAGAGCUUGUAGGCGGUUUGUCGCGUCUGCUGUGAAAUUUCGGGGCUCAACCCCGAACUUGCAGUGGGUACGGGCAGACUAGAGUGUGGUAGGGGAGACUGGAAUUCCUGGUGUAGCGGUGAAAUGCGCAGAUAUCAGGAGGAACACCGAUGGCGAAGGCAGGUCUCUGGGCCACUACUGACGCUGAGAAGCGAAAGCAUGGGGAGCGAACAGG